RNAcentral lists this ribosomal RNA (601 nucleotides) under Exiguobacterium mexicanum. RNAcentral describes it as "bacterial SSU rRNA". It matches the Rfam family "Bacterial small subunit ribosomal RNA", at positions 75 to 656 of the family's 1533-position model. The record is from RNAcentral. Lineage: Bacteria; Bacillati; Bacillota; Bacilli; Caryophanales.
ACCCUUCGGGGGGAAGUCGACGGAAUGAGCGGCGGACGGGUGAGUAACACGUAAAGAACCUGCCCUCAGGUCUGGGAUAACCACGAGAAAUCGGGGCUAAUACCGGAUGGGUCAUCGGACCGCAUGGUCCGAGGAUGAAAGGCGCUUCGGCGUCGCCUGGGGAUGGCUUUGCGGUGCAUUAGCUAGUUGGUGGGGUAAUGGCCCACCAAGGCGACGAUGCAUAGCCGACCUGAGAGGGUGAUCGGCCACACUGGGACUGAGACACGGCCCAGACUCCUACGGGAGGCAGCAGUAGGGAAUCUUCCACAAUGGACGAAAGUCUGAUGGAGCAACGCCGCGUGAACGAUGAAGGCCUUCGGGUCGUAAAGUUCUGUUGUAAGGGAAGAACAAGUGCCGCAGGCAAUGGCGGCACCUUGACGGUACCUUGCGAGAAAGCCACGGCUAACUACGUGCCAGCAGCCGCGGUAAUACGUAGGUGGCAAGCGUUGUCCGGAAUUAUUGGGCGUAAAGCGCGCGCAGGCGGCCUCUUAAGUCUGAUGUGAAAGCCCCCGGCUCAACCGGGGAGGGCCAUUGGAAACUGGGAGGCUUGAGUAUAGGAGAG